CCUACGGGCGGCAGCAGUAGGGAAUCUUUCACAAUGGGCGAAAGCCUGAUGGAGCAACGCCGCGUGCAGGAUGAAGGCCUUCGGGUUGUAAACUGCUUUUAUAAGCGAGAAAUAUGAUGGUAACUUAUGAAUAAGGAUCGGCUAACUACGUGCCAGCAGCCGCGGUCAUACGUAGGAUCCGAGCAUUAUCCGGAGUGACUGGGUGUAAAGAGUUGCGUAGGUGGCAUAAUAAGUAGCUAGUGAAAUCUGGUGGCUCAACCAUUCAGACUAUUAGCUAAACUGUUAAGCUCGAGACCGUUAGGGGUAACUGGAAUUUCUAGUGUAGGAGUGAAAUCCGUAGAUAUUAGAAGGAACACCAAUAGCGUAGGCAGGUUGCUGGGACGGUUCUGACACUAAGGCACGAAAGCGUAGGGAGCAAAUGGGAUUAGAUACCCCAGUAGUC
Molecule: ribosomal RNA, 442 nt
Filed under: uncultured bacterium
Lineage: Bacteria
Description: partial 16S ribosomal RNA
Rfam family: Bacterial small subunit ribosomal RNA
Source: RNAcentral